Molecule: ribosomal RNA, 652 nt
Filed under: uncultured bacterium
Lineage: Bacteria
Description: bacterial SSU rRNA
Rfam family: Bacterial small subunit ribosomal RNA
Source: RNAcentral
AGAGUUUGAUCAUGGCUCAGGAUGAACGCUGGCGGCGUGCUUAACACAUGCAAGUCGAGCGAAGCACCCGAUCUGAUUUUUUCGGAAUGAAGAUCGUGUGACUGAGCGGCGGACGGGUGAGUAACGCGUGGGGAACCUGCCUUACACAGGGGGAUAACAGUUAGAAAUGACUGCUAAUACCGCAUAACCCGCUGGAGUCGCAUGACUCUGACGGAAAAGAUUUCAUCGGUGUAAGAUGGACCCGCGUCUGAUUAGCUGGUUGGUGAGGUAACGGCCCACCAAGGCGACGAUCAGUAGCCGACCUGAGAGGGUGAUCGGCCACAUUGGGACUGAGACACGGCCCAAACUCCUACGGGAGGCAGCAGUGGGGAAUAUUGCACAAUGGGGGAAACCCUGAUGCAGCAACGCCGCGUGAGUGAAGAAGUAUUUCGGUAUGUAAAGCUCUAUCAGCAGGGAAGAAACUGACAGUACCUGACUAAGAAGCCCCGGCUAACUACGUGCCAGCAGCCGCGGUAAUACGUAGGGGGCAAGCGUUAUCCGGAUUUACUGGGUGUAAAGGGAGCGUAGACGGUUAUGCAAGUCAGAAGUGAAAGCCCAAAGCUCAACUUCGGGACUGCUUUUGAAACUGUGUAACUAGAGUGCAGGAGGGGUA